CCUUUUUUCCCCAGCUUUAGAUACUGAGCAUGGUGCCAUAUGGUAUUGGACAUCCCUUUGGUCAGCUGGGGCCAGCUGUCCUGACUGUCCCCUUCCGGCUCCUUGUGCCCCGCCAGCCCCUCACUGGCAGGACUUUUAGUCUUUUGCACAGACUUCUCUCCAUUCUCCUCGUCACUAAAAUCAGAAUCAUAGCCGCCUUGGCCACGUGCGGCCGCGGCGAGGCGCAGCUGGCCAGGCACCAUGGCGGCGGCUGCCGGUGGACGCGAGCCGCCUCCUACGUCCGCUCUGCCGGGCUCAGCUCGCGGGCCGCUCCUGCCGGCCCCUCCCGGAAACCCG
Molecule: long non-coding RNA, 336 nt
Filed under: Gallus gallus (chicken)
Lineage: Eukaryota; Metazoa; Chordata; Aves; Galliformes; Phasianidae
Source: RNAcentral